GUAGUCCCCCUUCCCUCCCUUUCCCAAAUCGCGGGGAGCCGCGGGGCGGGGCGGCGAGGCGAGGCGAGGCGGAGGGAUACGGCCGCACCGCGCGGCGUGCGUGCGCGCGCUCCAAACUCUUGGAACGCCGCGGAGGGGCGGGCGGGCCUGCCUGCACGGGCGUUGCGUGCGGGCUAGCGUUGUUGCGGCGCUUUUCUCUACCUCUCCUGGCUUGGACUAUCCAAGCUGUUUUAGAAAUUGUCCUGCUCUGGGCGGAGCUCUGAGUCUUCAGCUGUGAAACAGUGUGAUCCUACAGUGACACUCAGAUCCUUGGAGUCUUCUAGUCUGCCCUAGAGGUCGCCCUGAACUCAAGUGGCUUUGCCCCUCCCCUCUCCUGGUGCCUGGACUUUCCAAGGCAGAGCAUGAGAACAAGACCCCAUCAGGACGCGGCUCUCCCAGCCUUCAGCUUGUUCUCUGAGGGAAAGGAAGAGAGGGAUCGAACUCGGGACCUUGUGCUUGCGAGGCAGGCACCGGAAGCACUGAGUUAAAUCCUCGGCCCUAUUUUUUAAUACUUUAUUUUACUCAGUGCCAUGGUCUGUUCCAUGAACAUGAGGCCAUGGUACCCAGGCUCAAGUUUAAGCUCCUCUCUUGCUUGUCCCAAGAUACAAGAACAGGUAGAACUUUUCUUUCUGUCCAAAGUCUACUUCUUCCUUCCCACUCCUUCUAUCUGGCCUAAAGCCAGGUCAUUCACUUAAAAAAAAUGUGCAAAAUAAAAGUGGCAUAAAAUUUCAUGCCAAUAUGUUUGGGUAUAAAAUCUUGCCAGAGUUUUCUACUUCUGGUCAUGGAAUAUUUUGCAGAAGGAUUUUCUGAAUGAUAUUAUAUGGGUGUCUCUUUAUUAAGUAUGGCUUAAAAUGAAACCAAGUAUAUGUUGUUGGGGUAACAAUAGAAAAAAAGAAAGGAACAUUGUAUUCUGCCG
This is a long non-coding RNA of Heterocephalus glaber (naked mole-rat), 955 nucleotides long. NCBI's taxonomy places the organism in Eukaryota, Metazoa, Chordata, Mammalia, Rodentia, Bathyergidae. The record is from Ensembl.